AAAAAAUUUUAUUUUAAAAAUAGUUCCGAUAAAUUUAUAAUCGUAAAACUUAUCACCCAGACGCCACGUAAGCACCACGUGAGUAGGCUGGAUGGCGGCUCUGGCAAGUUGAACACGAUAAAUCAUUCACGGUGAAUGAUUCACCGUUUUCAGUUAGUUAUUCUGUCCCGAAAAAGAUGAUGUAUAAGUAUAAUAUGUUUAUAUCAAGCAGCGUGAAUAACCAAAAGAAACACGGUGAACCAUUCAUCUUGUUUGAACACGGUGAAUGAUUCGCCGUGUUCAACUUGCCAGGCAGGCGCCCAGUCCGCCCACGUGGCUUUUGCGUGGCGCCUGUAUGACAGAGAUAGAAUUAUUUUUACAAUUAUAAAUUUAUCUGGGUUAUUUUAAAAUAAAAGUUUUUCAGGAACAAUUUGCAAAAAAAGCUCAAAAAAAAUAAAGAAAAAGAGUAGGGCAAAGUAAACGAAAUAUCCAGAGAGAGAGAGAGAGAGAGAGAGAGAGAGAGAGAUUUGUGGAGUUAGAGAGAGAGAGAGAGAGAGAGACAGAAAGAUUGCGUGGAGUUAGAGAGAGAACGAAAGCCGCAGCAGCAGCAGCAGGAGCAGCGGCAACAAGAUUAUUGAACUCUCCGUUGCAUCGUUUUUUUUUGUUUUUUUUAAUCUUCUUUAGAUUAUUCUAUUGUAUAUUAAAACCAACUCCACGUAAAAAACACCGACCCCCUCUCUCAAUCUCUCUCUCUCUCUCUCUCUCUCUCUCACACACGCGCAGAGAGG
This 767-nucleotide long non-coding RNA is filed under the name Ananas comosus (pineapple). Its description in RNAcentral is "long non-coding RNA (ACOM_LNC008264)". The record is from RNAcentral. Lineage: Eukaryota; Viridiplantae; Streptophyta; Magnoliopsida; Poales; Bromeliaceae.